CACGUAGGGGGCAAGCGUUGUCCGGAUUCAUUGGGCGUAAAGAGCUCGUAGGCGGUUCGAUCAGUCGGGUGUGAAAACUCGAGGCUCAACCUCGAGACGUCGGUUGAAACCGUAUGGCUAGAGUCCGGAAGAGGAGAGUGGAAUUCCCGGUGUAGCGGUGAAAUGCGCAGAUAUCGGGAAGAACACCCGUGGCGAAGGCGGCUCUCUGGGACGGUACUGACGCUGAGACGCGAAAGCGUGGGGAGCGAACAGG
Molecule: ribosomal RNA, 253 nt
Filed under: uncultured bacterium
Lineage: Bacteria
Description: partial 16S ribosomal RNA
Rfam family: Bacterial small subunit ribosomal RNA
Source: RNAcentral